UACGGGGGGGGCAAGCGUUGUUCGGAAUUACUGGGCGUAAAGGGUUCGUAGGUGGCCAACUUAGUCAGACGUGAAAUCCCUCAGCUUAACUGGGGAACUGCGUCUGAUACUGGUCGGCUUGAGUGCAGGAGAGGAACGCGGAAUUCCAGGUGUAGCGGUGAAAUGCGUAGAUAUCUGGAGGAACACCGGUGGCGAAGGCGGCGUUCUGGACUGCAACUGACACUGAUGAGCGAAAGCCAGGGGAGCAAACGGG
This 253-nucleotide ribosomal RNA is filed under the name uncultured bacterium. Its description in RNAcentral is "partial 16S ribosomal RNA". It matches the Rfam family "Bacterial small subunit ribosomal RNA", at positions 524 to 776 of the family's 1533-position model. The record is from RNAcentral.